This 314-nucleotide long non-coding RNA is filed under the name Gossypium barbadense (sea-island cotton). RNAcentral's name for it is "long non-coding RNA (GBAR_LNC022570)". Lineage: Eukaryota; Viridiplantae; Streptophyta; Magnoliopsida; Malvales; Malvaceae. The record is from RNAcentral.
CAAAACUCAAAAUCUGUUUUAGGCGCCUCAGCAAUCCUUGUAGCCCAUGAAAUCAACAUCAUCAAAGAACCACAGGCAAGGGACAAAGUUGAAGUCAACCAAGGGUAAGGGUAAGCAUUCAAAACCUUCUUGUUAUAAAUAUUGAAAACAACAUUUAAAGCCCACCAAGUUGCAAAAUAAAUCCCAAUUUUCACCCUUUUUGCAGCUUCUGAUUUCACUUCCUCAGCUGCAGCCUCAAUAGGCUGGGACUUAUCAGCUUCAUAAGCCCUGCACUUGAUCACGGGUUCUUUAUCCUUCCCAAUAAUCUCAACAGC